CCUACGGGAGGCAGCAGUGGGGAAUAUUGCACAAUGGGGGAAACCCUGAUGCAGCGACGCCGCGUGAGUGAAGAAGUAAUUCGUUAUGUAAAGCUCUAUCAGCAGGGAAGAAAAUGACGGUACCUGAGUAAGAAGCCCCGGCUAACUACGUGCCAGCAGCCGCGGUAAUACGUAGGGGGCAAGCGUUAUCCGGAUUUACUGGGUGUAAAGGGAGCGUAGACGGCAGUGCAAGUCUGGAGUGAAAGGCGGGGGCUCAACCCCCGGACUGCUCUGGAAACUGUACGGCUGGAGGGCAGGAGAGGUAAGGGGAAGCACUGGUGGAGGGGUGAAAUGGGUAGAUAUUAGGAGGAAAACGAGUGGAGAGGGCGGUUUACUGGACUGUAACUGACGUUGAGGCUCGAAAGGGUGGGGAGAAAACAGGAUGAGAUACCCUUGGAGGC
RNAcentral lists this ribosomal RNA (440 nucleotides) under uncultured bacterium. Its description in RNAcentral is "partial 16S ribosomal RNA". It matches the Rfam family "Bacterial small subunit ribosomal RNA", at positions 338 to 795 of the family's 1533-position model. The record is from RNAcentral.